Molecule: ribosomal RNA, 274 nt
Filed under: uncultured bacterium
Lineage: Bacteria
Description: partial 16S ribosomal RNA
Rfam family: Bacterial small subunit ribosomal RNA
Source: RNAcentral
AUACGGAGGGCGCAAGCGUUGUUCGGAAUGACUGGGCGUAAAGCGCGUGUAGGCGGUUGGACAAGUCGGGUGUGAAAUCCCCGAGCUCAACUCGGGAACUGCAUUCGAAACUGUUCAGCUAGAGUCCCGGAGAGGAAGGCGGAACUCCCAAUGUAGGGGUGAAAUCCGUAGAUAUUAGGAAGAACACCGGCGGCGAAGGCGGCCUUCUGGACGGUGACUGACGCUGAGACGCGAAAGCGUGGGGAGCAAACAGGAUUAGAAACCCCAGUAGUCC